This is a long non-coding RNA of Lutzomyia longipalpis, 691 nucleotides long. RefSeq lists it as uncharacterized. NCBI's taxonomy places the organism in Eukaryota, Metazoa, Arthropoda, Insecta, Diptera, Psychodidae. The record is from RefSeq and is a predicted model, not a curated record. The transcript has 3 exons.
UAGUCCCCUCCCCUACAUUUUAAAUAAUUAAUUCAGUUAUGCCUCAGAUAGUUGCAAAGAAGAGUCAGUUAUAGAUAAGUGAAAGAAAAUUGUUGAAAAAAGAGAAUUCUCCUGCAUAAAAAUCCACAUGAUCACCAAUAUCAGACGAUUGACGAUUCCCAAACAAAGACACAAUUGACCACUGAGGAAGACGCACAGAAGCGUCGAAAGCUUUGGCCCUAAAAUUGAAAGGAUGUGUUUGGGUUGACCUACCGUCCCUUGGCUGACGCAAUCGGAAGGAAUUUUCCUAAAACACCAAAAAACUUAAAACAUCCCGUCAGUUUCCACUGGAGUUUGAGCAAUUUAUUACCCAAAAAUGAAUGAAUAAAUUAAACGAAAAUUGCCUUAGUUUGAGGUCACAGAUUGACUAAAUAUUGAGCUAAAAAUGAACAUUAAAAUCAUUUAUUCUAAUCGAUAAAGUUUAUAAAGAUAUUGGCGCAAUUUAUUACACAAAGUUGUUAAAAAUUCAUACUCAAAACUCCAAGAAAUUCAUUAAGAAUUUGCAAAUUGUGAUUUAUAGAACAUUUAAAAAUGACUAAAAUGCACAUAAAAGAGAGAAAAAAAAAUUAAAGAAAAAGGCAUAAAAUACGUAAAUAAAGACAAAAUAGAUAAACAAAAACGGUUAGAAGAAAAAUUAAAUUACUUGCGAUUU